Gorilla gorilla gorilla (western lowland gorilla) is the source of this 108-nucleotide unclassified non-coding RNA. It matches the Rfam family "Y RNA". From Rfam's summary of the family: Y RNAs are components of the Ro ribonucleoprotein particle (Ro RNP), in association with Ro60 and La proteins. The Y RNAs and Ro60 and La proteins are well conserved, but the function of the Ro RNP is not known. In humans the RNA component can be one of four small RNAs -- hY1, hY3, hY4 and hY5. The record is from Ensembl. NCBI's taxonomy places the organism in Eukaryota, Metazoa, Chordata, Mammalia, Primates, Hominidae.
GGCUGAUCCAAGGGUAGUGAGUUAUCUCAGUUGAUUGUUCACAGUCACAGAUCGAAGUCCUUGUUCUACGCUUUCUCCCUUCCCACUACUGUACUUGACUAGUCUUUA